RNAcentral lists this microRNA precursor (231 nucleotides) under Sorghum bicolor (sorghum). RNAcentral describes it as "MIR6217 microRNA precursor family". It matches the Rfam family "MIR6217 microRNA precursor family". Lineage: Eukaryota; Viridiplantae; Streptophyta; Magnoliopsida; Poales; Poaceae. The record is from Rfam by way of RNAcentral.
UGGCUACAAAAUAACUUACUUAUUUUGUAGCCACUUUGAGUUACGAUAAUUACUAUAUUAGUUACAAGAUUAUAGUAACUAUUUAAUAAAUGGAUUACUAUAAUAUUACGGUAAAUAUCCCCAUAUGUUAUAGUAACCAAACUAUCGUAAAUAUGUAUACAUAUUAUCGCAAAUGAGUAUAUAAAAUUAAAGUAAAUAGAGGUGGCUACAAAAUAACUUAUUUUGUAGCUA